This 501-nucleotide small RNA is filed under the name Pongo abelii (Sumatran orangutan). Its description in RNAcentral is "retained intron". Lineage: Eukaryota; Metazoa; Chordata; Mammalia; Primates; Hominidae. The record is from RNAcentral.
AUUUCGUGGACGCCGGGUGAGCGAUAGCGUUGGUUGGUGUUGGGCUGGAGGAAAGCGGGAAGACUCAUCAGAGCGUGUGGAUUUGAGCCGCCGCAUUUUUUAACCCUAGAUCUCGAAAUGCAUCGUGAUUCCUGUCCAUUGGACUGUAAGGUUUAUGUAGGCAAUCUUGGAAACAAUGGCAACAAGACCGAAUUGGAACGGGCUUUUGGCUACUAUGGACCACUCCGAAGUGUGUGGGUUGCUAGAAACCCACCCGGCUUUGCUUUUGUUGAAUUUGAAGAUCCCCGAGAUGCAGCUGAUGCAGUCCGAGAGCUAGAUGGAAGGUGAUUUAAUGAUUACACUGAUACAAAUGUGUUGCUUGUGGCUCUUAGAUGGCUUUCCCAAUCACUGGCCAAUUGUAUCUUUAGAUACAAUUGGGAUUUUUUUUUUUUUUUUGGGAGACGAGUCUUGCACUGUCACUGGGCUGGAGUGCAGUGGUACGAUCUCGGCUCCCCGCAACCA